GGAGAGUUGUCCGAGUGGUCGAUGGUGGUUGACUUGAAAUCAACUAGGUGUAACAGCCUCGGGGGUUCGAAUCCUCCACUCUCCGCCA
RNAcentral lists this transfer RNA (88 nucleotides) under Synergistaceae bacterium. RNAcentral describes it as "tRNA-Ser". It matches the Rfam family "tRNA". From Rfam's summary of the family: Transfer RNA (tRNA) molecules are approximately 80 nucleotides in length. Their secondary structure includes four short double-helical elements and three loops (D, anti-codon, and T loops). Further hydrogen bonds mediate the characteristic L-shaped molecular structure. tRNAs have two regions of fundamental functional importance: the anti-codon, which is responsible for specific mRNA codon recognition, and the 3' end, to which the tRNAs corresponding amino acid is attached (by aminoacyl-tRNA synthetases). tRNAs cope with the degeneracy of the genetic code in two manners: having more than one tRNA (with a specific anti-codon) for a particular amino acid; and 'wobble' base-pairing, i.e. permitting non-standard base-pairing at the 3rd anti-codon position. Lineage: Bacteria; Thermotogati; Synergistota; Synergistia; Synergistales; Synergistaceae. The record is from RNAcentral.